This 1314-nucleotide long non-coding RNA is filed under the name Triticum aestivum (bread wheat). RNAcentral describes it as "long non-coding RNA (TAES_LNC020368)". Lineage: Eukaryota; Viridiplantae; Streptophyta; Magnoliopsida; Poales; Poaceae. The record is from RNAcentral.
UUAUUGGAUAAAGUUCUGUACUGAUAGUACAAAACUUUGUGGUCGCCCAGGCUAUUCAGCCUUUAAUCAUAUUUAACAUCGUCAGGUAAGUAACGAUGUCAUGAUCAGAAGUCAUUGGCUAUGUGCUAUAUAUAUGCGCAUAAUUUCAUAAACUACAUUGUGCAUGCGAUUGUUUUCAGGAACAAUAGAUUUUCUUAAUUUUUUAACUCAAUGUGAAAAUGAACAUUGAUGUUUUUUGUCCCUCGAAGGAGACGAGGUUUAAUAUUUGCUUACAUGACCAGGAACAUUAGGAGAUGUUCAAAUGAGUAGUGAAAGAAGAAGAGUUAUUUGCAAAGAUGGUAGCUUUCUUUUCUGUACAAAGAUGAUGGCUAUACCCACAAUAUUGCUCUUGUUACCUUCUUUUGAUGUAGACCUUAGCUCAUUUUCUUAGCAACAAAAAUUCUGAAUUUAUUGCGCGCACAUGCUUAUUUGGCCAAUCAGGAUAAUAAUAAUUUUGCGGUUUUGUACAAGUUUUACCAGUUUAUUGUUUUCAAAAUUAGAAUCUUGCUGAUUAACCUAUCUGCAUUUUGUAGUAAAGUAGCUACCUACACGAGGUAGGUCCAUUAACUCUUUUGUAGAACCAGAUUGUUGAUAUUUCCUCAGAAGUAAAAAUGUUACCUUUUCCUUUACUCGCUUACUUGAAACCAGACUAUUAGGUACCCACCUUCCAAGAUAUAUAAACAACCAAAAGUAUCACGUCAGGCUAUUCUUUGGUUGUUGAUCAAACAACCAACACUCUGGUGUAUAGGGUCUCUGGAUAAACAAGCUCGAGGAGGCCGUUGUUUGGUGCAGCCCACGACAACAACUACACCAUUGACCACUGAAGCAAGGUCCUUAUAUGGUCACUGAAGAAAUCAUCUUUCCUCCGAACGAAGGGCACUUUUCUUGAAUCUUAGUUGGUGUCUGUUGUAAUUUACCAUCAUCCCUAAGACAAACUUGAUUCUGUGUUGCCGUUCUUUAUCUCUAUUGUUUAAUCCAAAUUACUACUGUGACAUGAUAACAUAUAUGAUGCAAUGGACAAUAUUCCUAAGAACUGCACGGACACAGUGCUUUAUCAUAUCUUGAGCACAUUUGAUUUAUUGUGUUGCCCAUGUGUACAACUACUUGGAUCAUCUAAUUGCAGACUCAACUAUUGUAAGCUACUAAUGAUCUAAUAUGUUACAUUCUUACAUUAUUAAGCAAAUAUUUGCAUUUAGCUCUUGGUUUGAAUUGGACUUUGCGCCAUUUGGUGCAACGGGAUACAGAAUAUUUGCUAAAUUGGAACUCAUCUUCUCU